Molecule: long non-coding RNA, 392 nt
Filed under: Rattus norvegicus (Norway rat)
Lineage: Eukaryota; Metazoa; Chordata; Mammalia; Rodentia; Muridae
Description: long non-coding RNA NONRATT026860
Source: RNAcentral
UCUCUCUUUCUCGUAUUCUUAAUAUAAGCAUUCUCUCUGAGAAGACGGAUUGCUUAUUUACAGUUUAAGGAGUAAGCUAUAUUAAUAGCCACGCAGAAUGUAAAACAUUAUGGAUGUGCUGCAGUGACAGGUGUUUCCCCCUCCCCCAAGUUCUAAAGAAUUUCUGGAUACAAGACAGAAGGAAUGUUAAGUUAGAACCCCUCCCCCAUAUAGUUUUACAUGUAAAAAUAGUGGUACUUUGGUAUGCUAUAUGUUUAAUCAUGGACAUAUUGGAUGCAUAUGUGUACAGUAUGUUUGAAACUAAUAAUUUCAAUGAUCUUAGGAAACUAAAUAAAUGUCCAUUGAUAAAAGUUCAUAAUGUCUGCUCCCUGUUCUCCAAGAAUGAAUAAAAU